This 539-nucleotide ribosomal RNA is filed under the name uncultured bacterium. RNAcentral's name for it is "partial 16S ribosomal RNA". It matches the Rfam family "Bacterial small subunit ribosomal RNA", at positions 355 to 909 of the family's 1533-position model. The record is from RNAcentral.
UGGGGAAUAUUGGACAAUGGGCGAAAGCCUGAUCCAGCAAUGCCGCGUGAGUGAUGAAGGCCUUAGGGUUGUAAAGCUCUUUUACCAGGGAUGAUAAUGACAGUACCUGGAGAAUAAGCUCCGGCUAACUCCGUGCCAGCAGCCGCGGUAAUACGGAGGGAGCUAGCGUUGUUCGGAAUUACUGGGCGUAAAGCGCACGUAGGCGGCGAUUCAAGUCAGAGGUGAAAGCCCGGGGCUCAACCCCGGAACUGCCUUUGAAACUAGAUUGCUAGAAUCCUGAAGAGGUGAGUGGAAUUCCGAGUGUAGAGGUGAAAUUCGUAGAUAUUCGGAAGAACACCAGUGGCGAAGGCGACUCACUGGACAGGUAUUGACGCUGAGGUGCGAAAGGCGUGGGGAGCAAACAGGAUUAGAUACCCUGGUAGUCCACGCCGUAAACCGAUGAUAACUAGCUGUCCGGGCUCAUAGAGCUUGGGUGGCGCAGCUAACGCAUUAAGUUAUCCGCCUGGGGAGUACGGUCGCAGGAUUAAAACUUAAAGGAA